AGUGGGGAAUAUUGGACAAUGGGCGCAAGCCUGAUCCAGCCAUGCCGCGUGAGUGAUGAAGGCCUUAGGGUUGUAAAGCUCUUUUACCAGGGAAGAUAAUGACGGUACCUGGAGAAUAAGCCCCGGCUAACUUCGUGCCAGCAGCCGCGGUAAUACGAAGGGGGCUAGCGUUGCUCGGAAUCACUGGGCGUAAAGCGCACGUAGGUGGGUCGUUAAGUCAGGGGUGAAAUCCCGGAGCUCAACUCCGGAACUGCCUUUGAUACUGGCGAUCUUGGAGUCCGGGAGAGGUGAGUGGAACUGCGAGUGUAGAGGUGAAAUUCGUAGAUAUUCGCAAGAACACCAGUGGCGAAGGCGGCUCACUGGCCCGGUACUGACACUGAGGUGCGAAAGCGUGGGGAGCAAA
This 403-nucleotide ribosomal RNA is filed under the name uncultured Methylobacteriaceae bacterium. RNAcentral's name for it is "bacterial SSU rRNA". It matches the Rfam family "Bacterial small subunit ribosomal RNA", at positions 353 to 772 of the family's 1533-position model. The record is from RNAcentral. Lineage: Bacteria; Pseudomonadati; Pseudomonadota; Alphaproteobacteria; Hyphomicrobiales; Methylobacteriaceae.